Molecule: transfer RNA, 70 nt
Filed under: Rattus norvegicus (Norway rat)
Lineage: Eukaryota; Metazoa; Chordata; Mammalia; Rodentia; Muridae
Rfam family: tRNA
About the family: Transfer RNA (tRNA) molecules are approximately 80 nucleotides in length. Their secondary structure includes four short double-helical elements and three loops (D, anti-codon, and T loops).
Source: Rfam by way of RNAcentral
GGGGAUUUAGCUCAGUGGUUAGAGCGCUUGCCUAGCAAGCACAAGGUCCUGGGUUCGGUCCCCAGCUCCG